GUCUAUAUAUACACUGAGCUGUCCCUCUGUAGUGAACUUCCUGCCCGUGGUUGGUUACCACGGUUACGACCUAGGCCAACAGGGUCAAACUCACAAAGUGCUGUUUGAGUUUCACCGCUCAGUAAAACCCGCUGAACAAACGUUCACGACGCAGCUAAAAAAAAAAAAAACAGUCGAGGCAUUUUGUUCAUUAGAGUGACUUCAAUCUUAAAUAUUUACCUUCAACAUUAUCUACAAAAGCACAUCAUGACCGUUUGUACACAGUGACUGAUGUCUGCAACAUCAGAGACAGCUGAACAUAUAUACAGGUUGCUUUGUAUACAAAUAAAUCCCACAGAGCACAGCGCCCCCAGUGGGUCGGAGGAGCCAUCCAUCUAAAGCACUUCACCUGAGGUUCAUAAAGAGAGGAGCAGACAGCCCACAGAGGGUUCUCCUCUGGUACCAGUCAGACUGGGUCCAUACUGAUGGGUCCUCCUCUGGUUCCAGUCAGACUGGGUCCAUACUGAUGGGUCCUCUGGUUCCAGUCAGACUGGGUCCAUACUGAUGGGUCCUCCUCUGGUACCAGACAGACUGGGUCCAUACUGAUGGGACCUCUGGUUCCAGUCAGACUGGGUCCAUACUGAUGGGUCCAUACUGAUGGGUUCUCCUCUGGUUCCAGUCAGACUGGGUCCAUACUGAUGGGUCCUCCUCUGGUUCCAGUCAGACUGGGUCCAUACUGAUGGGUUCUCCUCUGGUUCCAGUCAGACUGGGUCCAUACAGAUGGGUCCUCCUCUGGUUCCAGUCAGACUGGGUCCAUACUGAUGGGUCCUCUGGUUCCAGUCAGACUGGGUCCAUACUGAUGGGUCCUCUGGUUCCAGUCAGACUGGGUCCAUACUGAUGGGUCCUCCUCUGGUUCCAGUCAGACUGGGUCCAUACUGAUGGGUCCAUACUGAUGGGUCCAUACUGAUGGGUCCAUACUGAUGGGUUCUCCUCCUUGCUCUUGGGUUAAUUCUCCAGCAGUGUUAACUCCACAGGUUUAUCAAGCUACUCAAAGAGGCCUUGGAGUUGAUCACCAAGCGUCUGGUGUGUUCAGUGUUCUCCGGCGGGAAUAUGUGGUGUUGUCCAGGCUGACCUCUAGCCUCUGACUGGACCACAGACAGGGGGCGGGGCCUGGGAGAGGCGGGCUGGGGCAGAGAGCCAAUCACUAGGGAGAAGAGCACGAAGACUUCCUGCCUGAAGAAAAUCUAAGAGAGAGAGGAGAGAGAAGAUGGAGAGAAAUUAGGAUAAACUAAGGUACAGUCAGUAAUCAGGUAGUGGGAUUAGAUGGAGGGAGGUUAGGAUAAACUAAGGUACAGUCAGUAAUCAGGUAGUGGGAUUAGAUGGAGGGAGAUUAGGAUAAACUAAAUUACAGUCAGUAAUCAGGUAGUGGGAUUAGAUGGAGAGAGGUUAGGAUAAACUAAAUUACAGUCAGUAAUCAGGUAGUGGGAUUAGAUGGAGGGAGGUUAGGAUAAACUAAGGUACAGUCAGUAAUCAGGUAGUGGGAUUAGAUGGAGGGAGGUUAGGAUAAACUAAGGUACAGUCAGUAAUCAGGUAGUGGGAUUAGAUGGAGGGAGAUUAGGAUAAACUAAGGUACAGUCAGUAAUCAGGUAGUGGGAUUAGAUGGAGGGAGAUUAGGAUAAACUAAGGUACAGUCAGUAAUCAGGUAAUGGGAUUAGAUGGAGGGAGAUUAUGAUAAACUAAAUUAUAGUCAGUAAUCAGAACAGACAAAUUCAUACGCAUUGGCUAUUAACGUAACCAGCUGGGUAUGGAUAGUGGUAGGGUACUAGGGUUAUAGGGGUUAGUGGUAGGGUACUAGGGUUAU
RNAcentral lists this long non-coding RNA (1840 nucleotides) under Salmo salar (Atlantic salmon). RNAcentral's name for it is "lncRNA (ENSSSAG00000110623.1)". The record is from RNAcentral. Lineage: Eukaryota; Metazoa; Chordata; Actinopteri; Salmoniformes; Salmonidae.